UUAGGGUUUCUAUGAGUAGGUCACUUGGAGCUAGGGUUAUGGUUCCUAUGGGUAGGAUUCCUAUGG
This is a non-coding RNA of Chelonoidis abingdonii (Abingdon island giant tortoise), 66 nucleotides long. Lineage: Eukaryota; Metazoa; Chordata; Testudines; Testudinidae. The record is from RefSeq and is a predicted model, not a curated record.